UGUCGUUGGUCUCUUUCUGAGUUCUU
Molecule: small nuclear RNA, 26 nt
Filed under: Arabidopsis thaliana (thale cress)
Lineage: Eukaryota; Viridiplantae; Streptophyta; Magnoliopsida; Brassicales; Brassicaceae
Description: snRNA_11149
Source: RNAcentral